This 274-nucleotide ribosomal RNA is filed under the name uncultured bacterium. Its description in RNAcentral is "partial 16S ribosomal RNA". It matches the Rfam family "Bacterial small subunit ribosomal RNA", at positions 523 to 796 of the family's 1533-position model. The record is from RNAcentral.
AUACGAAGGGUGCAAGCGUUAAUCGGAAUUACUGGGCGUAAAGCGCGCGUAGGCGGUUGGAUAAGUCGGAUGUGAAAGCCCCGGGCUCAACCUGGGAACUGCAUUCGAAACUGUCCGGCUAGAGUAUGGUAGAGGGAAGCGGAAUUCCACAUGUAGCGGUGAAAUGCGUAGAUAUGUGGAGGAACACCAGUGGCGAAGGCGGCUUCCUGGCCCAAUACUGACGCUGAGGCGCGAAAGCGUGGGGAGCGAACAGGAUUAGAAACCCUAGUAGUCC